RNAcentral lists this ribosomal RNA (428 nucleotides) under Ammonia sp. 647. RNAcentral's name for it is "partial 28S ribosomal RNA". The record is from RNAcentral. Lineage: Eukaryota; Foraminifera; Rotaliida; Rotaliidae.
CGUAAUAAUAGAAACUAACCAGGAUUCCCUUAGUAACGGCGAGUGAACUGGGAUACCAAUAAAAUAUAUAUGCCACUCGUUGGCGUAUAAUUUAGCCCGUCGAUACUAUCCUAGCAUAUUUACCUACGGCUUCGGCUGUUCGUAAAAUAAUAUGCGGGAAUUGUAGCAUCGUAAUAAAAAAAUAUACGUACAACACGCACACCGCAACGCCAUAAGCGUAUAUAAAAAGAACCUUACUUGUAAACACACAGCGUACCCGCGUUGGGAAGCAAGUAUAUAUCCUUUUGGAUAUGCCAUAGAGUGUGACAGCCACGUUUCACCCUAUAAUAAAAGGUCAUACGCAUAACACACCGAUACACCCAAAUGGCAAUGCAUCGUGCAUACCGUACGAAAAAUAUAUUUUUUAUAUAACCUGAGUCGAGUUAUUU